Molecule: long non-coding RNA, 1834 nt
Filed under: Olea europaea subsp. europaea
Lineage: Eukaryota; Viridiplantae; Streptophyta; Magnoliopsida; Lamiales; Oleaceae
Source: RNAcentral
CCAACACUGACCAUUCCUUAUGGAAAAGUUUUGAGAACUCUAGAAUCUCUUACUAAUAAAAGUGGUUCAUUUAUUUUUCUGCAUAUACAAAGACAAAAUUGACCAAAUAUUUGGCGACUAUUUUAAUGUAGAAAGGAAGUAGACCAAACUCUAAUCCAAUCUUGUGUAGACAAUUGACAAAUCCAAUUCUAAAUAAUGAAAUCGUAACAAAGAAUAUUAAAAUCACAAAAUUAUAAAUUUGGGUAUAACGUAAUGUUGGUUCCCAACAUUUUUAUUUUGUCUCAAUUUUGAUCUCAUGAAAUGUUUAUAAGACAUUUCAUCAACAACCAUUCGGACUUCACGCAAAUUGUCCUCAUUGACGACUUCCAUCCAAAUCUUGUUAAGUUAGGCAGGUGCCUUGCAUGACCAUUUUGGCAAAGGGAAAUUUUGUCUACAAAAUAAAAGUUUUAGCAUUCUUAUUCUAACUUUAGACAAUAAUAGAAUAGUUAUAGAAUGUUCCUAUUCAUCUUUCACUGCAUUUAAAACCGUAUAUUAAUCAAGGGUGCUUAUCAGUGGCAAAUCUAAUAUCCAAGUCCAGCUAGGAUGGGUUGACCGUUGAUCGUUGACCAUCGACGAUCGUAAUAGUCCAAUAUUACGAUCAAUUACAAUUGAUUAAAAAAAAAUAAAAAUAAAGUACACAUGGGUCUUGUCAAUUAAAUUUUAUCACUUUGACUAAUUUCCUAAACGUAAAUUCUCAAAUCAAUAAUCAUAACUCACAAAACACUAAUUACUUAUCAUAAUCACAAUUCACAACAUAAUUUCAUAAACAUAAAUUUCCAAAUCAAUAAUCAUUCCUCAUCAAAAUAUAAAUUACUUAUCAUAAAUCGCGAAUGCAAAUAUAAUUUCGUAAACAUAAAUUCCCAAAUCAAUAAUCAUAACUCAUAAAACGUAAAUUACUUAUCAUAAUUCAUAAAUCACAAUUCGCAAUUUUUUAAUUCCCAAAUGAAUAAAUCUCAACAUAUUUAUCAUCAACUAAUCAACUUAAAUCACUGACCUGAGGAAGGAAUCCCUUAGCAUUAAUAUUGGCUCCAAGUCUCCAACCAGUGAACCAGAGAACUUGCUCACCAAGUGGACAAAGAAUUCUGCGAUUUUGUUCCAAUUUCACGCCAAAUUGAUACCCUUAAACUGUUAAACAUGGUGUUGAGCAGUUAGCACCUACAAAUUACAAUACAAUAAAAUUAAAUUUGUCAAUUUAGCAGUUAGCACUUAGUACAUACAAACAGGCAAUCAUACGAUUCAUACCCUGUGAAAAUUUUCAUUUUUUCAUACGAUUCAUAGCCUGUGAAAAUUUUCAUUUAAAAAAUGUAAGCACUCACAUAAUAUAUUGGCACUGUUCAAUUAUGUAAUUAUAUCCCUUACCCUCAGUCCAAUACUUGAGGAAUAUAAUAAUUAACAGAAGUAAAUUAUGAAGAUAACUCAAAUUGCAGUAAUCUUAUUUUUAAUUAAAUUUUGUACUUUUAAAUUUUAAUACACCCUAUUUAUUAAAAAUACAAUAUUUUAUGGCUUAUUGUAUAAUUAAUUAGUAUAUCAACAGAUAACACAACAAUAUAUCUAUCUUUACUCCAAAACUCAAAAAGAUGUAAGAUUUUCAUAAUGAAGUCAAAAGUCAUGUUAGAAAAAAAAUUAGAAAUCAACGGAACCGGCGUCGCACACUACAGCCUACAGGGCAGGGGCGAAACCGGCGGUCUCCGGCACCGUCGUGUCUCGUCACUUGUGUGCAGCAUCAUGUUGGUAGGGGUGAGCGGGGAAGGAAGAAUUGAAUAAAUUGGAAAAGGGUUUUCUUCCAACCUUCCAC